RNAcentral lists this small RNA (78 nucleotides) under Flavobacterium sp. 9. RNAcentral's name for it is "Flavo-1 RNA". Lineage: Bacteria; Pseudomonadati; Bacteroidota; Flavobacteriia; Flavobacteriales; Flavobacteriaceae. The record is from RNAcentral.
UUUUAGCCCUGAUAGUAGUGGAAAUCCUUUUGUGUCCGCCGCGGCAGACAUAAAAGAUUGCAACGUCCCGAAGCUUCG